UACCUUUUAUUAUUGAAUUUAUGCUUAUGUGUUCAUCUGAAUAGAUUGGCCUAGUGUCAGCCGUCCCAGUUCACUGGUGCUGAAUACAGUCUUAGCAGCCGCGAUAAGGACUAGUUAGACUGCAAUGAGAUGCAUAAAUGGAUAAGUGCCCCUCCAACGGUUGACAUUGCGACGGCCUAAAGACAAGUGCGGUAUCUUUUCAGCCGGUUACUGAAGCAGCAAGCGAUAAAUGAGAAAAGGAGCAUUCACAGUCUUUCUUUUUACAUUCAUUCAUUCUUUUUUCAAGAAAUUGUGCUCCAAAGGAUAUUUUAUUUUAUUUUCACUGGUUUUUGUUUUCGGGUUUUUUUUUUUGGUACAGAUCACAUUUGCUUGCUAUGGAGGAGUCCUUAACUUUUGAUGAAAUCGAGCUGCAUAUGAUAGCCCGCAAGGGAUUGUUCCAGACGUGCUUCUACAACCUAAAGACAUUUUAAAACUGUUUUAUAUUAGUGUUUUAGGUCUUUCGGAUUUUGCCAAAUAUCUAGGGUUUUUAUAAUACUGUUUUAGGUUUUUCUGUUUAGCAUAUCGUAUUUAAAUCUUGGGUGUUGUUUUUUAAAUUUGUAUUUAGGGUAGUGAACGAGCGGGCUUCCCAGGCGCUGGGUUCAUCCUCGGCAGCCUUCGUGUUAUCACGUUGCUGCCAAGAGACGUAGGCAAAUCGCUGGGACGAGUCCGUGGUGGGGAAAGGGCAUUUUGUGAGGCUCAUAGGGAAAUGAGGGGAAGUUUGGAUUAUGUCUUUGUGGAGGCAUUUGCAGAGUUGGAAAAACAAGAAGAAAACAAGAAGAGAGAGAGAGUGACAAUGGUGGUGGUGAAGACAACUGGAGGGUUGAGCGAAGUGGCAUCUCAAACCAAGAUAACAAACAAGAGAUAGAGGCGAUUGAUCUUGUAUAUCAAUGACACAUACGUUAAAGGUGAGUCAAUUUCACAACACAUACGUUAAAGGUGAGUCAAUUUCACAAGUGAGGAUACAAAAUUCAAUAUUGAAAAUCAAGAGUCUCAAUUUAUUACGUUCGGGAUGGGUAGAAUAUAGAAGAAAGGGGUAAUUGCAUUGUUGCAAUGAGGAUCCUAUUGACAUCUUUUGAAAUCAGUGGGAUGGAUUACUAUGAGUUUGAAGUGUAGAAUCUUGAUUUUCAAUAUAGGAUUUUGUCAUCCUCAAUUGUGAUAUUACUCACCUUUAAAUAUAUGUUGUUAAUCUCAAAAGAUGAGUCGCGUCUGUUUCUUAUUUGUGAUGCCACUGCUAUGACGUCCUCGUUUUCUUCUUCUCCAACACCUCCUUUUUCUAUCUUCUUGUCCUCGUUUUCUUCUUCUCCACCAUCUCCUUUUUCUCUCUUCUCUUCCCAUCUCUCCAUGUGGGCAUUGAGCAAAUUUUAUGUAGCAAUUGUUCUCCUUCCAACAGUUAGUUAUCCUCACCACCACCAUUGUCACUCUCUCUUUCUUCUUGUUUUUCCAACUCUGCAAAUCCCUCCGUAAAGAUGUGAUAAAUCCAACUUUCUCUCAUUCCCCACUGGUCCACACAAUGCCCUUUACCCACCGCGGGCUCGUCCCCAGCAAUUUAACUACCACCAUCUCCACUGGUCUGUGAGGAUUCUAAUGAUAUGGAUUGCAUUAGAGUCCCACAGAAAGACACAACAAAAAUAGUUCAGGAAUGUACAGGAGGUUGGCCAUCCUCAAGUCCCGUGAUGAUCCUUCUACCAAACACAGACAAUUCAGCAGCACCUGUCAUGAUUCAGUUGGAAGUUGUGGAGAAGAAAUAGUGACCGCAGAGGUGAGAGUGAAUUCUUUGGAUCCAGCCUGUGAGGGUUCUAAUCACAUGUAUUGUAAGAGAAUACCACAGAAAGGCGAUGUGCAGAAGGAUGGCCAUCCGCAAGGCCUUACGGAAACAGUGCUGACAUGAAAGAUGCAGAACAGUCAGAAGCCUUGGAUGCCAUAGAAACUAUUCGGCUGCGGAAUACCUCAAACAUUAUUGAAAAUGGACAAAUCUCACACAUGACAACUCCAGAAGUGCAGAUCCCGAGUCAACUUCAAGAUAGCUUUUACCCACUUGAAAGCAACGCAUUCAGGAAUAUUAUACAAGUAGAUUUAAGUUCAGUCAGCAGUACCUCUAUGCUACCAGAGAUGCUGACAUACCAAUGCUGUAUAACUUAUCCAACAAAUAAUUCGAGGAGCCGACAUGUUUUAGUGAAAGAAACAAUGAGUGACAGUAAGUUGCUUGUUAUCUAAACCUUUCAUUACUCAUUUUUAGCUCCGUUUGAUCUCUAAUGAAUUCUCCGUGGUAAGAUUAUUUUUUAGACUUUAGCUCUGCCAUUUGUGCAUCUGCUCGAUGAAUACUCCAUGGUAAGAUUAGUAUUUUAGAUUUUAGCUCUUCUGCCCUUGCAUCUCACUUUCUCCAUGUGUGUGGUUCAUUGGGCCCUUAUUCCCCUUUUAUAGCUGUGCAUGCAGCUUAUAUUAGGUGCAAGACUUCUCUGGUACCUAAGACUUAGGAAACUUUAAUAGAUUGAAUCUUCUGAUUCUAAGUUAGCUUUCCUGAUUUGCUUCUGGUUUAUUUUUGAUACACGUGUCUUUCUACCAUUUUUUUUUGUCGAUAUGAAUUCUCAUUGCCCUUCAUUUUGUGCACAAUGUAUUGUCCCUUGUGAUCUCCAAAGCUUUUAUAAUUUCCUUUCUUGGUUUCAACAGCACCGUUUGAUGUGCCACCAACCGAUCAUGCUGGCCUGGUUUACCAGUCGGUUACCCCACUAUGACCUGGGUGCUCCCAAUCCUUUUCAACUUUUGUUGGCAUCCAGCUGUUCAUACAGCCUACACAUGAAUCAAUUGGGUAAACAUGCUAUUUGUCCAGCUCAUCCAAUUUUGACCCAUGAUUUGUUUACAGUUAAUUUAAGAUUGACAGUUAUUUUAAUCAAUCAUCAUCAAAUAUGAGCAUAUUGAUUAGCGUCAUAGUUAAUUUAACAUUAGUAAUGGUGUCAUUGUUCAACAAAAUGAUCUAGGGUUUCUAAUUCUCACGAACCGAAGAAUCUGAAGUUUCCAUCAAUUUACUUUUGCAACAUAGUCAGCACCCUUUGACUAACACCAAGUAAAUUGUCUUUGAAAAUAAUCCCAAUGACCCAAUCAGCUUAGAAAGCUUUAAAGUGAAGACUUUUUUCUUCUCGUUUGCUGGUUUUGCAAAAUUGAAAUCACCUCAAAUGAUAACAAGUUGGUUGUUCUAUGGAUUCAACUAGGCUGUUGUAUAUAUGAUAGACUGCUCUUUCAGCUUGCACCUAGGAACAAUCUAAACUGAAAGCAAUAGAAAAUUUACUAUAGUUAAAUCCCAACAACGAUGGGGUGGUACACUUAAAAUCAAUUUGAGUUCUAGAUGACAAGACUCCAUUGAAAGCAGAAGAUAAUUUUUUAAAGAUGAAACUAGAAAACUUCAAAGCCACAUGAGUGUGUUCAGAAUUCUGAAUUGAUGUGCAUGCCAGCUUCAUUAUCUCUUUUAACUUAGGUUCCUCCACUCCGUGAUACAUCAAUCCAAACUCCUAUCAUUGAUCACUGCUAUAUCACCCAGAUUCAGGCACCAAGUCUCUUUAUGCACUUAUAUUUGUCACUAGGGUAGUAUACAAAUGUGUUGAUGAAGACAAAAAAACAACAGCUUUUAAAACUGUACCCAAGACAUAACAGAUCAUACUAGAGACGACGACUUGGAUGUGUUCUUAAAGAAUAUUACAAUAUGCACCGUUUCCAAUUUUUGGCACCUUUAAAUGAAAAUUGUUAUACUAUCUUUUUAGAACAUGAAUCUUCUGUUUAUAAAAUUCAUCAAAAUUAAAAACAUUUCUGGAUGCAUUAUGUCCAAUUUUCAACAGUCUUAUAUUUUACUUUUCCAUAUCAGCAUUGUCUGGUAUUGAAUGUUAUAUUCCCAUGAUCUAAAAUUACUUACCUACAAUGUUUUCAUUGAAACUGGUGACAAUCAACAUAAGAAAUUUUAUGGUUAAAGAAAAAGAGUUGGAUAAAUUCAUGUUUGAUUGUUCUAUAGUAUCAAAUAUUAAUAAUUCAAUAUUGAUAGCACCAAUAAAAUAAAGAUAAUGAUUGUUUUUCUUCUUAUUAUUUUAUAUACAAGAUGAAUUGAGUUAGCCAUCAUUAUAUCUAUAUGACCUUUUGUUCUUAAAAUGUUUAAAAUUCUAUCUAUUUUCUGCAAGAAAGAGAUAUAUCAAAGUGAAGGCUCUGGAGGCUGCUGGAGUUGCAAAACAAUUUGAAGAGAAAAGGGAACAAGGACACAAAUCUAGGUAGGAACUAGCCAGGCCUAGUGAGCAUGAAAAGAAUUUUCUUGAGAAAUCGAAAGAACUACACAGAGGAAAAAGAAGGUGAAUGAUCCAGUAUUUUGCCUGUAGUGGUAGUAAUAAAUCAAUAUCAAGUGGCAUGGCAAGAAAAAAGGCAGUGGGAUGCACCUUGCAAUCUCGACCAGGCAGUUCUGUGAUUGGUGUUGAUUUGAAGUUGAGAAGAGCUUUAGAAGCCAAGACAAAAUUGGAGCAAGAAAAAUUGAGGAAAUUGGAGGAAAAAAACAGAAAGAGGAAGAAUGGAAGAAAAAUGCAGCAAAGGUUGCAGCAAAUAAGAGGAAAAAGGAAGAGAUGGACAAGAGAGACCGUGAGGAAAAACAAAAGUGAUUGGAAGAAGCACAGAAGUAGCAGAAGAAACUUGAGGAACAACUUCGUGCUGAGAAGGAAAAAGAACAGAGGCUCUGAGCUCUAGUAUCUGAAUAGACACCAUAGUAGAUUUCCCACAUCUAUGUACUUAAUUAUAUGCUGAUAUUAGCUAAGCACUUCACAUAUUGAAACAGGAUGACAAGAAGCAUAAGAGGAAGGCAAUGGAGCAAAAGGAAAAGAAGCAGCUUUGCAUAGUGAAACAAAGGGAAGCUGCUAAGCGCAGAUGAUGAAUAGAGGAGGAUGCCAAGUCAAACAAAUUUGCAUCAAAGGAUGCAAAACACAUGCAAGAAGUCCAUCAGCAUAAUGAAACAACACUUCAGGCCCAAAAUGCAUAUGCUGGAAAGGUAAACUGUUACAACUUAUCGAUUCAGAUCCUGUAGUAAUCAAUUGGACCUGUCAGCUAAUUUUAUCUAUAAUGAUGACAACGGACAAUUUUUUUAUAAAUCUAACUUGUAUACAAGAAACUUGGAGACUGUCUAUACAGGGCUUCUUAUGGUACAAAUGAUGUUUCCAACUUCGUUAAUACAACUGCAUCGUAGGUGUCAAGCAUGUCAACUAGUUGUGCAAAAGGUGCACAUGAAACAAAAGGGCAGUCAAUGUAGGGCAGCAAUGCUAGUUCACAUCUAUCAUCAAAAUCCAACUUCAAUAUUGAAUCUUAUGAAAUAUCGCCUUAUAAGGGUCCAGAUGAAGAGGAUAAUGAUGAUGUAAAUCCAGGGAAACCCAUACCACUAUGGGCAAGGUAGAUGAGGAUAAGUUUCUGUUUGGAUGUUUAUUUUCAACAAGACUAUAAACUUUCAUAACUUUCCGACACUUCUUUUGGUCACAGGAAAGAGUAUUUGAUUCCACAUAUUAUCAGUCAACAAUAUAUUGAUCCUAAUGAGAUAUUCGCUGGUGCAAGAACUUGCAGUUUAAAUGAAGUUUUUGAGUCUUAUGGAUCAACUAGGAGGAGAGAUUUCAAACGACUUUGUUACAAUGGAGAAUUGCUUAAUGACUGUUUUACAUAGAAAGAAGAGCAUCAAUACAAGUUGCAGUUGAAGGUCCUUUAAAAAGUUGUAUGAAGCCAUAAAAAAAUGAAGAGAAAGCUAUCAGUUGAAGGUCCUUUAAAAAGUUGUAUGAAGCCAUAGAAAAAUGAAGAGAAAGCACAAGGACAGUGUUUUGUGAGUCAAAAUAAGAGAAAAAGUGACUAUCAUAUCCAUUCCACGAUGGAAGGGUCAACAGGGCCUCUUGUUAAAGCCAAAGUGCAAGCACCAUAUACCCAAAAGGGUCGAAUAUACAAAGGUGCAUGAUAGUCCAUUAAUCAAAUAGUGAGCAAAUAAGAGCAAACAAAAAAGUGUAUGGUUGAUAGGCCAAGGGUUUCUUCAGCUUCAUAGGGAGAUACGACAAGGAACAAGGAGCAGUAGAAGAGACCUAGAAUGGUAUAAAGGAAACGGUCAAAGUUGAGUCCCAAUGAUCUUUAUGACAGUAAGCAAGAGUGCAUGACAGUCUUGAGAAAGGAAACCCUAAGACAAUCCUUUCAGGGAAUUCACAUUCAAAACAGCAAAUGACUGAGUAUAGGAUAGUUAAUGAGAUCUCAAGUUUGCAGUCACAAUGCAAGAAAGCAAUUUAAUUAAGAUAUUCACAGUCAAGGUAAGAGUUAAGAGCAAAAUAUGAGGUCAGUGAGCUGAAACAGAUUAGGACAGUCAAAACAUUACAUUGUUGACCUUGUCUGUGAUGAUUUUAUACAAACAAGAGCAGUCCAAUCCAAGGGAUUAACAGCUAAUAACAGUCAAAUAGCAAAGCUCCACUAGAAGUCCAAAAGAACAGACAUCAAGAUCAGACCAAAGAUCAAAUCACAAGCCUUUGGAUAGUCAUAGUUUAAGAGGAUAGUGAUUAGUCAUUUGGUGAGCAAAUACCAUACAAAUCGUAAAGGCAAUAAAGGAAUGACAGUGCCUGAAGAGAUCAUGACAGUGUGUUGAUAAGUGAUCAAGGAGGUAGGUGAAGAGAAGAGUAUUCUACAUGCAUGACAAAAUCACAAUCCGUUAGAGCCAAAAGUCCUUGAAUGGCACAAAUGUUAAGACAGUCUUAACAGUAACAAGGAAAUCGUUGAAGAUACAAAAGUAAAAGUAGAUAGUCCAUGACUGCUGCAUAACAGAUGAUGGAGAUUUACACCCAGCAACGUUAAGGAAAGGCAGUCCUAGAAACAAAAGAGACAAAAAUCUACUGAGGACAAUCAGCCCUUCAAUGCUUUGCAUACAAGAAAAUGACAGUCAGGGAGUAUAUUAGGACAGUGGCAAGUGACAAUAGGAGUUUCAUGAUCAUGGACUGUUUUUAGCUGAGAUAUAGAAGAUAGUGAGCUUUGACAUAGCAGUCAUAUAGACCACUUCAAACCAUAUGAGUAAACAUAGAGAUGACAGUACCUUGCAAGAGGACAGUCCAUGGCCUCAAGUAAGACAGAGGCCUAAUACAAUAAGCAAUCUUGUUUAGACUCAGAGCAAAUCUAUUAAGAAAGAGAGGAAAGGAUGAAAAUUUUAAAGGUUAGAACUGUUAGAAGACACCACAAUGACAAGGCUACCAUACAGAACAGAGAAACACUACUGCCAAAACAAGAGAUCACUGUCAAAGAGAUCAUUUAUAACAGUCCCUAGCAUGAAUAGAGAAAAAUAACAUCAAACCCUAGAGAUGAGUCCACGAGUAAAGCAGAGAUAGCUGUCAAAUGAAAUGAACAUAGUGAAAUACAUUGAAACAAAGAGUUUGAAAGCAAUCUUGUGGGAUACUUUGAGGGGGUGACAGAGCAUGCAAAAGGCAGAGAGAAGGCCUUGAGGCAAUAUAAAAGCCAAGAACAACGCAAAGUCUAUCAGUCCAUAAAUGAUAUUGAACAGCAGCAGGACAGUGCCCUAUUUCUUGCAUAGUUAAUGACAUUCCCCAAAGGAAAUGCAAGGUCAGUCCAGAGUAAUAAACAAGGUUAGAGGAAGCAAAGAGAUCAAGAAUCAAUGCUGCAAAAAGCCAGUAUUGACAGUGGUAAGUGGUAUGAGAAAUGGUAUGAGAAAUAGUCCAUGUAUGACAGCACAUGCUGUCAUAACACUUGAAAGACAGUCCCGAUGACAAUGUUUCAAAACAGUUGAAGAGGGACCAAGGCCAAACAUGCAAAACGAAGGUGAAAGAUAUACGACUGUAAUCUUAAAAUUCCUUUGUUAUGAUGAACAGUAAAUAGAUGUGCAGUCAUAUAAGCUCUAAAGGAGGCUAAGAAGAGUCUAAGUUACCAUGAAAUAUUUUGAUUAUGCAGUUUUUGAGUCUAAUGGAUCAAAUAGGAGGAGAUAUUUCAAACUGUGUAGCUACAGUGGGGAAUGACUUAAUGACUGUUUUCCAUGGAAAGAAGAGUGUCAAUACAAGUUGCAGAUGAUAAAUAAAUAAGGGCUGAGUAAAAUCAUUAAACGGAUUCAGGUUGCCUUGUCUGCUUAUUGACAUGUUUGUAUCUAUUAUCACAGUUUUCUACCCUAAAGAUUAAUUUUGUGAAUUUAAUGGUUGCAUAAUGUGAAUCAUACAAAAGGAUGAUAAUUGGAGUCAAAGAUAUCAUCUUGCUGGAAAAAGUAUGAAAAUGAGCCAUAAGGAAGCUGGCACUAAAAAACAAAUCUGGAAAGCUUGUGUUUUUAUUUGAUCCUUUUUUAUUUAUAAGGAUGACACUUAAUGCAUUAUUAAUUUCAACUUUUCCAGGUUUUCCUUCACUCAUCAUGACUUUCUUUGUCAAUUGAGGAUGCACCUAUCUUGUAUUAUAUUGUUGUUUUCCCAUACUUCGCAAAGCUGGACAUCUUCAAGUCUCUUUUGUAAAGCAUGUGCCUGUUACUUGUAACCUUUAUUGCCUCUUCACUAACAUUUUUCAUUCUUCCAGGGUGCUUAGUACCGAAAUCAUUCAAAACUAAUGAUCGGUUGAUUUAAAACUUAUGUUCAAUUGUUUAUGGGAAGCUUUAAGUAAAGGAAAACAAAACUUCAAUUGGAACAUUUAAAAGCACGUUAAAUUUUGA
This is a long non-coding RNA of Cryptomeria japonica (Japanese cedar), 8701 nucleotides long. RefSeq lists it as uncharacterized. NCBI's taxonomy places the organism in Eukaryota, Viridiplantae, Streptophyta, Pinopsida, Cupressales, Cupressaceae. The transcript is spliced from 2 exons. The record is from RefSeq and is a predicted model, not a curated record.